GGUCUUUUUUCGUCAACCCUUCGCGCCUAUAUUGGUGGGUGCCGGAGCAAUCCGGCUAUGGCGAUAAACGGCCGUCGUAAUAAACCUUUCGGACCCGGGGGCAGUACCCGGCGCCUCCACCCAAGCCCACCGUCGGCGGGUUUCGGCGGGGGCGAAAUAGGAUCGACGAGGGCGUAAAAGACGGACUUUUGCCCGGAAUGGGUCCGACGUUAUGGGCCUUCAUAUAGUUGCCAACGACAACUAUGCUCCGGUUGCCCUGGCCGCGUAAUGCGGCUCGGAAUACCGAUUAAAGCCCUGACGGGUUAAGCUCCGGCAGGCGGGGUUCGGAGGCACCUGGCAACAGAAGCCUCCACU
Molecule: transfer-messenger RNA, 354 nt
Filed under: Pseudolabrys sp.
Lineage: Bacteria; Pseudomonadati; Pseudomonadota; Alphaproteobacteria; Hyphomicrobiales; Xanthobacteraceae
Rfam family: Alphaproteobacteria transfer-messenger RNA
About the family: Bacterial tmRNA, also known as 10Sa RNA or SsrA, is named for its dual tRNA and mRNA-like properties. Its role is to liberate the mRNA from a stalled ribosome.
Source: RNAcentral